This 497-nucleotide ribosomal RNA is filed under the name uncultured bacterium. RNAcentral describes it as "partial 16S ribosomal RNA". It matches the Rfam family "Bacterial small subunit ribosomal RNA", at positions 28 to 507 of the family's 1533-position model. The record is from RNAcentral.
GAUGAACGCUGGCGGCGUGCCUAAUACAUGCAAGUCGAGCGAACGGACGAGAAGCUUGCUUCUCUGAUGUUAGCGGCGGACGGGUGAGUAACACGUGGAUAACCUACCUAUAAGACUGGGAUAACUUCGGGAAACCGGAGCUAAUACCGGAUGAUAUUUUGAACCGCAUGGUUCAAAAGUGAAAGACGGUCUCGCUGUCACUUAUAGAUGGAUCCGCGCUGCAUUAGCUAGUUGGUAAGGUAACGGCUUACCAAGGCAACGAUGCAUAGCCGACCUGAGAGGGUGAUCGGCCACACUGGAACUGAGACACGGUCCAGACUCCUACGGGAGGCAGCAGUAGGGAAUCUUCCGCAAAGGGCGAAAGCCUGACGGAGCAACGCCGCGUGAGUGAUGAAGGUCUUCGGAUCGUAAAACUCUGUUAUUAGGGAAGAACAUAUGUGUAAGUAACUGUGCACAUCUUGACGGUACCUAAUCAGAAAGCCACGGAUAACUACGUG